Molecule: ribosomal RNA, 229 nt
Filed under: uncultured bacterium
Lineage: Bacteria
Description: partial 16S ribosomal RNA
Rfam family: Bacterial small subunit ribosomal RNA
Source: RNAcentral
UCCGUAGGCGGGCUAAUAAGUCAGGGGUGAAAUACCACAGCUCAACUGUGGAACUGCCUUUGAUACUGUUAGUCAUGAGUUAUAUGGAAGUAGAUAGAAUGUGUAGUGUAGCGGUGAAAUGCUUAGAGAUUACACAGAAUACCGAUUGCGAAGGCAGUCUACUACGUAUAUACUGACGCUAAUGGACGAAAGCGUGGGGAGCGAACAGGAUUAGAUACCCUGGUAGUCC